UACGAAGGGGGCUAGCGUUGCUCGGAAUCACUGGGCGUAAAGCGCACGUAGGCGGAUUGCUAAGUCAGGGGUGAAAUCCUGGAGCUCAACUCCAGAACUGCCCUUGAUACUGGCGGUCUCGAGUCCGGGAGAGGUGAGUGGAACUGCGAGUGUAGAGGUGAAAUUCGUAGAUAUUCGCAAGAACACCAGUGGCGAAGGCGGCUCACUGGCCCGGAACUGACGCUGAGGUGCGAAAGCGUGGGGAGCAAACAGG
Molecule: ribosomal RNA, 253 nt
Filed under: uncultured bacterium
Lineage: Bacteria
Description: partial 16S ribosomal RNA
Rfam family: Bacterial small subunit ribosomal RNA
Source: RNAcentral